This is a long non-coding RNA of Acanthochromis polyacanthus (spiny chromis), 10248 nucleotides long. RefSeq lists it as uncharacterized. Lineage: Eukaryota; Metazoa; Chordata; Actinopteri; Pomacentridae. The transcript is spliced from 5 exons. The record is from RefSeq and is a predicted model, not a curated record.
AUGCAGUAUUUCAGAAAUGUAUGGGAUGUCCAAAAACUUUUUUCCACUGCUGCAUUUAACAACAAUCUGAUCUGCUGUUGUUGGCAAGACAAACAAGUGAAGGUUUCAGGCUUUUAUCUAGAAUUGUUCUUGAGAUAAUUCAUCUUCAAACAGCCUCAAAUUUCAAUGUGAGAAAAGAAAAACGAGUGAAACUGGGUCUACAGUCCACUGAAAAACCUCUAAGAAAGUAUCUGACAUAUUGGGUGAUGUGUAUGACCCAGCACCCACAGCUGGUUGGGUGUCAUGUGGCUCUGUGUUCUGAUUGGAUGAUUGUCCAACCACUGCCACAAGUAUGAAGGUCAUCCUGCAGGCGUGGCAGGAACACGGAGUGGAAACACAAUAUAUGUGUUCAUCUGGCCAUGCUGAGGGAACCCUCUGCUUCAAGCUAGUGGAGAACAUCAUAGUAGGUAGAGUCCCUAAUAUUAUCAGAGUAUCGACAUGACGGGUCCGAAAAAUUUUGGUCACGUGAUCUAUAUGUGCCAUUUUGUUUCCUAUUCAUGAACGCCGGGUUUUCUGUUAACGUUGUUUACACUGCAGAGAGUAAUUCUAGGUCCUUUUUCGCUUCCUAAAUACCUGAAAAAAUGAUGGGCUGUUGUGCCUUUGGGUGCACAAAUCGAUCGUAGAAGGGAUUCCACAUGUUUAGAUUUCCCAGUAAUAGUCAAAGAAGGAAACUGUGGGAAAAUAAAGUCCGGAGAGUGGGAUGGAAACCGACUUCAUCGUUUUUGUGCCAGGUUAGUCCCAUGUUUGUACUUUCAUGUUAUGAUGUAUGGGUGAAUGACAGAUAGAAAAGUUUGAUGUGAUUUUAGGCAGUUGUGGUUAUUUUGACUUUGACCAUAUUCAUGCAUGGAGAUGUGUUACUGGUGACUGUUGGGUACCGUAACCCGUUAAACUUCCGUAUUCGGGCCGUCUUGAGAUGUGCAAACGUAUUUUGCUAAAUUGACCAAAGCUGCAAACUCGAUGACAGAAACAUUAUACACCCAUGGAAAGCUUAGAUUCUCAUGAAUCCACCGGUAUAAACCACUUUCAAAUGUGAUUACCACAGCGGGUAAUAUAAACACAUUUGUCCAACAAAUAACAUAAACAGCAAAACUCACCUUUGAAUCCUCAUAACUAGUCACAGAUGAAAAUAUUCCACUAAAAACGGCCAUAAUCCAACCUUGGACAUCCAGAAAAAACAAGCCAGUAAUAUUUUGUCCAAAACAUGUCUUCAAAUCAGUAAACAAUCCACAAGUAGCAAGUUUUUGUGAAUGUGCACCUCGCACUGCGCGUCCCAUAUUGAGUGAAUGGAAACAAAAUGGCUUCAAAUCCCCAGUUGUCGCUGCUCUGAUAAUACAGAGGCUCUAAUAGUAGGUGCUGGUUACUGCCCCCUACAGGUCUCUACACAGUCCUUAAUCCUGGAGAAUUAGAAAAUGACUAAAAAUAUAUUUCAACUUUAUAUAAUAAAAAAUUAACUUGCACUCGACUUCUCACAUGACUAAUUAACCCUGUCCUGUGAGUCAAAAUUGACUCGUUUUAAAGUUUGAAAAUGUGGGAAAAAAUAUAUAUUUUCACAGUGAAACUUCUGAUGUCCACGUUUUCAACAUUUUUGGGAAAUCUUUGAACAUUUUUAGGUGGAAAUAAAAACUUAAAAAUAUUUCUAAAGAACAUUCACAAAAAAAUCAACCAAAAUCCAGUGAAAUUCACUGGAUUGUUGAUGAUGUUUUUAAAGAAAAUAUUAGAAGUUUUACUGAAAUGCAUAUAAUCACUUUAGAUAUUUUUAGGAUUUUUUUUGGAAGAUUUUUACUCAUUUUUUAAAAAAUAGUUACAACAAUUUUCUUGCCAAAUUUGGGUGAUUUUUUGAAAAGAAAACUUUUAUAAAAUUACUGGAAUUUUCUUCCUGAAGGUUUUACAAAUUUUCAGAAAUUUGAGGUUUUUUUUUAUUUUUUUCGACAAGGAAACAAUGUUUUUUGGUACCUGUAAAAUGAGGACAACAGGAGGGUUAAAACAUUAAAAGGCAUCAUUAUUAAGGUUUCUUUUAUGAAACGUUUUUCAUCAACAAGUACACAAAAUAGAUUAAAAAUAUAAUCUAACAUAUUUACUGAUUAAUAACUUUGAAUUUCUUCUUUAUGUUGUUCUUCUGCAUAACUCACUAUUUCAAACUGGCUCAUGUUACUUCCAUGUGAUCUGCCAUUAAAACGACCACAUUCUACCAUAAACACUGUAAAUAAUAACACACCUGCUCAAAGUUAAAGGCCAACAUACGACCCAAACAUAACAUGGAUUUGGUGCCACUUUCAACUAAGAUGAUCUCUUCUGUUAAACAAACCGUUGAUUGUGAAUCUUUUUCCAGAUAUGAAGCUGCUCCUUCCAGGUCCACAGACAGUAAACAAAACAAAGCUCUCUGUAAAAACCCUCAGAAUGUUGAAUAGAAUAAAUGUGGACAGUUUCAUGACUGGAAGAGAAGAUUUCUGGAUCAUUUUGUGUCUCAUUUGUGUCAUUAUGUGUUUUGUUUUGUUCAGUUUACGUCUUUCUGUCAGGUUUUAAACAUUUUGCAUCUUUUCAUGUUAUUUUUCUUCCAUUUUGGUCAUUUUGUGCCUUAAUUUUGACCAUUUUGUGGUUCAUUUUGGUCAUUCUGUGUGUUUUUAAGUUUGUUUCUGUUUAAAAUUGUUCAUCUUGUUAGUUCUUUUGAUCAGUUCACGUCUAUUUCAUCAUUCUUUGACUCAGUGGCCAUUUCUAUUUCAGUUUUCAUCUCAUUUUUGCUCUGAAUUGCUCAUUUUAUAUCUCAUUUUAGUCAUUUUCCAUCACUUUCAGGUUGUUUUUGUUCAAUUUUGGUCAUUUUCCAUCUUAUUGGAUCAUUUUGUGCAUUUCAGCAUGUCUUUAGAAAAAUAAAUGUAUCAAUCAGACAGUAAAUGAUCUAUGAACAAACCUCCUUCAGAAUGUUGAAUAGAAUAAAUUUGGACCGUGAUGAAUGUAAGUAAAGAUUUCUGGAUCAGUUUGGUCAUUUUGAGGCUAAUUUUGGUCGUGUUUUUAUCUAAUUCAGGUCAUUUUUUUGUCUCUCUUUGUGCCAUUUGUCCACCAGAGGACAAAUGGUUCAAUCACAGAAUGAGGGUAUGUAUUGAAAAAAUAUCAUCCAAAAUUAGUCCAGAGUAGUGACUAUAAUUUGAAUUUUAAUACACUUAACCAAGUGCUAUAGGUGGAAAAAAAACAUGUUUACACAGCAUGAUGUUGCUUUGUGAUGUUGCAACUGACAUGCUGAUUUCAAAAUGGAAGCAUUUUAAUUUCUAAUGCUCUCAUAGAAGAUGACUGGUCAAUAAAAUUGACUCCUGUGACUCUGAUGUCAUGCAGAGUCUUUAUGCUAUGAUGUGGAAAGGGUGAAAGAAGACAGACUGGACAUUUCUGAGUGAAACUGAACAGGGCAUGUACUGAUUCAUAAAAAACAAGUGUAGUAUUAUCUUUAAUCAAGCCUUACAUAGUAUUUACUAGCUGAAGUACUUCGGUUUUGAACACAAGAAUUACUUGUCAAGACGACGUUGACUGGAGCUCUGCUACAGAAAGGCAGUUCAUUUUCUGCUGGGGUUCAUAACAUACAAGAUUUCUCAAAUCUACAGAGAUGUUUUUGAUUUUAAAUUAGAGUUACCUUAAAUUAAUAAUAUAUAUUUUUGAUACUUUCCCUAAAAAAACUCUAAAAAAGCUUCAGGUGUAGCUGCUGGAAAAGAGCCUGCAAGUCACAUGGUGGGACAUGUGAACAUAGUUCAAGGAAGCAAGGCUGGGAGCAAGAGCCCAAACAGAGGAGGUAAAAGAAAAGGUCAAACUACAGGAGAACAAUGUGAUGAGUGCACCGAGAGAUCCAAUACAGGGAGCUUUCCUUUUUCAAAGAUCAUUAGAAGGACAGAAGACAAAAAACCUAUCAUCUGGGUCAGGUGGUCACUCUGCAGCACAAGGAGUACUAUCCCACAUUGGAUCUGAUGUUAAUAUUUCCCUCAGACAUGGUGCUUCUUCAGUGGCGUCCCUGCACAACAUGGUAAAUGUCAAAUAAUGUCUUGUCUACUUUUGCAGUGAGAGGACAGAUUUGGUAAAUAGUCAGCACUGGCAGUCCACAACAAAUGCAGGGUGUUGCACAGGCAGAUUCUAGAUGACAUCGUGUUAUGUAAGACAUCCUUGUAGGUUUUUCAUCUUUCUACUCUCUGUGAAAGAGCAAAAUUGUAUUAGAUUAAGUCACAGACAUCUUCAAUCUCCAAUGAGAGUUUGUCUUUGCUUCUUUAACCCUCUAAGACCAAAAAAUAAAGACAACUUAAAAAGUUUCUAUAAAUAAAUAAUGUAAGGAGGCUGUAUUUUUGCAGCAGUGGGUUUUACAGGGUUAAAAAGAUAUUUCUGUAUUGAAAUCACAAGUAUUUAGAUGUCAGUUGUUCUCCAGCUGCUUAAAUAUAUAGUUUGUUAAAUUAUGCUCCAUAAACCAGCUCUAAAUGAGGUCAACUUAAGCCUCUCAGACCAAAAAAUAAAGAAAACUUAAAAACAUACACAUGUGAGAAAGAAUUGAUAUAGAAAAAAUAAAAUUAAGUCAAACAAAAAGUUUCUCUAAAUAAUGUACGGAGGCUGUAUUUUUGCAGCAGUAACAGUAACAGUUUCUACCCCACAGCAAUAACUACCCUCAAUGCCUUAAGGAAUGUCUGAUUGAGUAUUUAUUUAUUGUUUUUCUAUUUAUUAACUUGUGUUGUCUUUUUUAAUGAUGCUCUGACUGUCUGGUACUUUUAAAUGUUGUUGUACUGGUUACAAUGACAAUAAAGGACUAUUCUAUUCAGUGGGUUUUACAGGAUUAAAAGGUAUUUCUGUAUUGAAAUCACAAUUAUUUGGAUAUCAGUUGUUCUACAGAUAUAUAGUUUGUUAAAUUAGGCUCCAUAAACCCAGCUCAACAAAAGAAAAAGUUAGAACUUGCUCGCACAAGCACAGGCAUGUCGAAACAUGUCUGAGCUCAACAAAAGAAAAAGUUAAGAGUUCGCACACACAAGCUCAGGCAUGUCUGAGCUCAACAAAAGCACAGUAGCCAAUUAUGUUUAUUCCACCUGAUUAACAUCCCUGUGAAACAAGCAGAGGACACCUUUUUUAUGGAAAGGCUACUUCAUGUGACACAGCUGACCCAGACCCCAGUACCUUACAACGGACUCUGUCGCUCCUGUUCUAUUACAGACGAUGACUUCAUUUAACGUUCGACUCGCGUCCCCGUCGGAGAGGACCAGGUCCAGCAUCUGGAGCUGGCUCAGGAUCUCGCUCACAUCUUCAACCGCCGAUUCGGAGACUUUUUCCCUGAAGUUGGAGCUCUGCUGACUGAGAAAACACAAACACAGACUCACAUUCAGUAGGAUUUAGCUGGUUUUAGGGUGUAACUGCUGGAAAAUAGUGAUUAUUGUUACAUAGAAUCACAGAGGAUGAAAAAUAAAGAGAAAAUGUGAUGUUUUUCUCCACUUUAUAUGGUUUUAAUUGAAACGGAGUCCAAAGUGACGUCUGAUAUCUAAUUAUAGCUGCAAAACUCUGCAGCUUCAUGUUUUUAUGCGUAAAUUGUGAGCUUCGUUGAGUAAAAAGUGGGAAACAACUCAAUAAAACUUCAUCUUGGUGCAUUAAACUUCUUUCAAACACACAUUUAAGAUGUUUCUUCAGUAUUAGCAGAUGUUCAAAUGAAAAUUUAACAGCGAGAGAGAGUUUAUUCACUGUAAUUACAGUAAUAUUGAGUGUUUUUUUCUCCAUUUUAUAUGAUUGUAAUUGGAAAUGCUCAAUCAGUUAAUCCAAAAAUACACAAGAUCAUCACUUGCAGUUGAUGUCUGAUAUCCAAUAAUAGGAACCAAGGAGUUUUAUUUCGUGAAAGUGGCAAGAACUUCAAGAAAACUCCUUCUUUAAAACACACAUUUAAGACAUUUCUGCUGCAUUAGCAUCUGCUUCAACGACAAUUUACACUUAAGAAAGACUUUAUUUUUGGAAAUUCUAGUAACAUUGAAUGUUUUUCUCUAUUUUAUAUUAUUUGCAGACUUUUAUGAAAUGGAGGAAAGAAGUUAUAGGAGCCAAAACUCUACAGCUUUAUGUUUUCGUGCGCAAGACUUCACUUUUUGUUUAGUAAAAGUUACAAAAACCUCAAAAAAACUAAUAAUAUUUUAAUAACAUUUAACUAUUAGCAGCUGUUUAGAUAAGAAUUGAGAGAUGACACUUCAUUUGUGUGUCUUAGAGCAUAAACAUGUGACUUAACUUUCUAUAAACAUGUAUCUUUUAUUUUCAGCUGACAGAUAAUCUGUCAUUUAUAAAGACAGAUGUGUCAUUCUUCUCUGCCUUAAACAUGAAUUAAUUCAAAAAAACUAAAGAUUAUCGGUUCCCGUAGACGUCUAAUGUCCAAUAAUAGGAGUGGAAUCUCUGCUGCUUUCUGUUUUUAUGCGUAAAUUGUCAGUUUUGUUGAGUAAAUGUUUGAAAAACCUCAAGAAAACUCCGUCUUGACCCGUUAAACUCUUUCAAAACACACAUUGAAGACAAUUAUUUAGCAGUAGCAGCUGUUUAAAUGAGAAUUUAAACUUGAGUAAGAUUUUAUUCUUGAAAUUUACAUGUAGUGAUAUUCAAUGUUUUGCUCCACUUUGUAUGAUUUUAAUUUUAAAUGUUGAAUCAGCUAAUGCAUAAAAACUAAAGAUUAUCAGCCGCAGGUAUCCAGCAACAGGAGCCAAAGCUCUGCUGCUUUAUGCUUAAAGAAAACAGAUGUUUUACUGAUAUAUAUGUAAUCACUUUAGAUAUUUUUAGGAUUUUUUUGGGGAGAUUUUUCUCAUUUUUGAAAAUAUUUACAAAAAUUUUUUUUUUUUCCAAAUUCUGGGACUUUUUGAAAUAAAACUUUUAAGGAAUUAUUGGAAUUUUCCUCUUGCAAAGUUUUGCAAAUCUAUAAGUUGCUUACAACUUCACUAAAAAGGGAUUUUUCUCUGCAAUCAUUUCAAAGGUUUAAUUUCAAGAAAUGUUCAAAUGCUCCUACAGAUUUACCUGCUGUUUCUGGAUAUACAAUAGUAGUCUAUUUAAGGCGUAUACAGUAUAGUGAAAUAUCGGUCAGAAGAAUCAACCAUCAAGCAGUACCUUUACAUGCUUUAACUACAUGAUUGCUGCUAAUAAUUAUGUGCAUUUUCUUAUCCCUUUGACGCACAACAGGGGUCAAGAGACACCCAUUUUGCAUUAAAAGGUUACAUUGGGUUUUUAAGCAUUUUUUUUUAGAAAUCAUACAGAUUGAAGUGUUUUUACUUUACUGUAUUGGUACUUUUGCUGAAGCAAAAGAUCUGAAUAUUUUUCCACCAAUGCAUUUAAGUCAAAAUCGUAAAUCCUGAUCAUAUAUGUUGCUUGAAGGAAGUUGAGGAUCUCCAUAGUUUAUUCAUAGUCUUGGUGCCGCGUAUGUCGGUAUUCAUUUUUGUGCCAAUCCAUCUAUUUGUAGAUAUAUUUGAAUGUAUAACCAACAGGUUUGACUUCAUCUUCUGGACACAAUGAAUAUCUGUACCAAAUUCCACGACUAAAUCCAAUAUAUUUGACCUGUUUUCACUGUUUCCAUGCUUACAUUAGCAGUAAACAAAAGUAAAGGCGAGUAUGUCAACCACAGUUUCGUUAGUUUGGUCACAAGACUCAAGUACUGGAGAAAUAGGAAUUUUUACCUGCUGGUGGUGCUAAAUGAAAAGUUCAUCAUCUCUUUCGGUUGGUGAGUUGACAUCUUAAACUCAACCGUAAGUGUCUAAUGUUAAAGUUUGGAAGAUGGAAACUCAGUGGGACUAUCAACUAACUUCCUAGUUUAUCCUCAAUUCUGCAAGCUUGCCAUCUUCAAAUAGGUCUUUUUUCCUCCAUCAUCCAUGUGAAAACCAAAAACUUAUUGAUUUCCUGUCAUAUGUAGGGCUGCAACUAACAACUGUUUUCAUUGUUGCAUAAUUUGCUGAUUGUUUUCACAAUCAGUCAUUCAUUGUUUGGACUAUAAUGUGUCAGAAAAUGGUGAAAUAUAUCAGUCAGUGUUUCCCAAAACCAAAAUGUCGUCCUUGAAUAUCUUUUGUCCACAACCAAAAGCUAUUCACCUUACUCUCAUAGAGAAGUAGAGAAACCGCAAAAUAUGUUAUUUUUAAAUGAAAAAAUACGGAAACCAGUUAACUGACCAUUUAUAUAGUUGGAGAUUCAUUUAAUAGUUGACAGGUAAUUGAUUAUUUGUUGCUGUUUGGUUUGUUUUUGCCUUAAAACUCAGUAGAAUUUGCUAUCUGGAGACAGUUAAUGUCUGUACAAUAAAUUUUAAAAAUCACGGCAGUCCAUCCAGUGGUUGGAAUCACGCCACUAUUGUGGCUAAUAACCAACACUGACCAUAACCAGACAGAAAAACCUCUGUUCAAUACCCACAGAGAGAAACCUGAACAAAAGUGGGUGACUCCAACCAACCAGGCAAUAGUCUUUGUCAAGUUAGUUCUCUCCAGCCUGCUCUUCCUAACUUGAAAAAGGAAGCUUUAUUUUAAGGGUCCGGGGUCAUGCAGGAAUUCACUCAGGGCCGGCAGUCUUUUGCAUUUUUUUUCUUCUUUUAUUGGAAUUUUAAAAAUAUUUCAUUUCAUUUAACUAUGGCUGCUUAUGGGCCGCUCAGGUGAAAAACCUGAAGAAACACAAAAGCACAUGCGUAAACAAAAACCAACAGAAUAAAACAUGCAAACAAUACAACAUUUCACCAUGUUAAAUACACAAAUUUCAUUUUAAAUAAAGAUAAUCAUCUCAGCAAAAAUAUUUUAAACUACCAUUCAAACACGACUUCCACAGCGACCAACUGACAUUUAAAUUUACAUCUGCGCAUAAACUCCAAUCUAAAAUCUCAAUCCAUCCACUGUGCAUAGCAAGAACUACGAGACAAAACCACAAAUCCAUUCAUUCACAAGCAGAUCCUGUGUGCCACAAACAUUUAAACACUCACACAAAUCAAAAAACUAACACACCAACCUCAGCUUCACACCGAAAAACCCAACUUGCUAAAAGAGUGAUUAAACUCUUACCGGCUGCCUCUCCGGACUCUCAGCAGGCUUAGCAGGCUUCGUGACUCUGAGUGCUGUUUCUUUGUGCCACUAAUCAACCAACACUUAACACCUGUGAAAUGAAGCUGCACUAUGAGGUGAUCAACCCACCUGUGCCCAUGAGCUGUCAAUCACCACUGACACCAACAGCCACACCCACACAUUCAAGUUUGACUUCACAGUCUUAGUACUAUACUCAAAUGAUGUUGGACAAUAUGUUUUUACUGUUUAUUAUACUUUAUUCAUUCAUUUAACUGAAUUUUGCCUCUAGGCACUGGGUUUAAAAGUUGUUUUAAAAGCUUUCCAGUAGAAAGUUCAACCCUCAUUCUGUUUUUGGUCUGAUUUGUAUUUUUGUGUAUACAAUAGUUCAAAUAUUUUAAGUGUAGCAUACAAGGGGUAAGUUGCAGCUGUAGUUAAAAAAUAUAUACCGUAUUUUCACGACUAUAAGGCGCACAUAAAAGUCUUUGAUUUUCUUCAAAUUGUGCGGCGCGCCCUAUGGUGCAGUGCGUCCUGUGUGUGUUGUUGUAAGGCGGACGUAGACCAGGUGGUUUUUUCCACGCAUCACCAUCGCUGUUGAUCUGUGACUCUAUGCGUGCCCAUCUCACAGCCGAUGUGAAAAAACAAGUGAAGCAAAUGAACUCUGAGCUUGCCUUCAUUCCGGGAGGCCUGACAAAGGAACUCCAACCGCUGGACAUCGGUGUGAACCGGCCGUUCAAAGUAAGGCUGCGAGCGGCGUGGGAGCGAUGGAUGACCGAUGGAGACCACAGUUUCACUAAGAGUGGAAGGCAGCGCCGGGCGAGUUACGCCACAAUUUGCCAAUGGAUUGUAGAUGCUUGGGCUAACGUGUCUGCUGGCACUGUUGUUCGAGCUUUCGCAAAAGCCGGCAUCAUUUCCGAGGCGCCGCACGGCACGGAAAGUGACUCUGACAGUGAAGAAAGUGAACCUGGCAUGUUUGAUGGAGGUUUAGCGCAGCUGUUCAAUUCAGAAACAGAGGAUGAGGACUUCCAUGGGUUUGAUUGAUGACGAUUACCGGUUAAAAAAAAAAAAAAGUGAAUACCAAACUCAGUUUUGCUCCCGCUCUAUUUUUAAAUACGCACACUUGUGUGCUUGUUUUAUCUGUGUUUUACCAUGCCCGCGACUAUUGAUGAUUUAAAAAAUGUUAGUACUUUGUAAUCAAUACUUAAAUAAAGCACAACCAAACUCA